GGAGAGGUGUCCGAGUGGCCUAAGGAGCACGCUUGGAAAGCGUGUGUACGGUUUCCGUACCGCGGGUUCGAAUCCCGCCCUCUCCG
This 86-nucleotide transfer RNA is filed under the name Planctomycetota bacterium. RNAcentral's name for it is "Planctomycetes bacterium (groundwater metagenome) tRNA-Ser". It matches the Rfam family "tRNA". Rfam says of the family: Transfer RNA (tRNA) molecules are approximately 80 nucleotides in length. Their secondary structure includes four short double-helical elements and three loops (D, anti-codon, and T loops). Further hydrogen bonds mediate the characteristic L-shaped molecular structure. tRNAs have two regions of fundamental functional importance: the anti-codon, which is responsible for specific mRNA codon recognition, and the 3' end, to which the tRNAs corresponding amino acid is attached (by aminoacyl-tRNA synthetases). tRNAs cope with the degeneracy of the genetic code in two manners: having more than one tRNA (with a specific anti-codon) for a particular amino acid; and 'wobble' base-pairing, i.e. permitting non-standard base-pairing at the 3rd anti-codon position. Lineage: Bacteria; Pseudomonadati; Planctomycetota. The record is from RNAcentral.